Molecule: ribosomal RNA, 253 nt
Filed under: uncultured organism
Description: partial 16S ribosomal RNA
Rfam family: Bacterial small subunit ribosomal RNA
Source: RNAcentral
UACGUAGGGGGCAAGCGUUAUCCGGAUUUACUGGGUGUAAAGGGAGCGUAGACGGCAGUGCAAGUCUGAAGUGAAAGGCUGGGGCUCAACCCCGGAACUGCUUUGGAAACUGUGCUGCUUGAGUACCGGAGGGGUAAGCGGAAUUCCUAGUGUAGCGGUGAAAUGCGUAGAUAUUAGGAGGAACACCAGUGGCGAAGGCGGCUUACUGGACGGUAACUGACGUUGAGGCUCGAAAGCGUGGGGAGCAAACAGG